ACCGCGCCUAGCCCGACGGGGCGAAAGCAGGGCUCCCUUACCCUGCUGUCGCGUUUCAUUUUAGGGG
RNAcentral lists this small RNA (67 nucleotides) under Trinickia caryophylli. RNAcentral's name for it is "Burkholderia caryophylli int-alpA RNA". It matches the Rfam family "int-alpA RNA". Rfam says of the family: Acidobacteria (1 example), Planctomycetes (1 example), Proteobacteria. Environment (Lake Washington) The record is from Rfam by way of RNAcentral. Lineage: Bacteria; Pseudomonadati; Pseudomonadota; Betaproteobacteria; Burkholderiales; Burkholderiaceae.